Non-coding RNA from Leptonychotes weddellii (Weddell seal), 246 nucleotides. The record is from RefSeq and is a predicted model, not a curated record. NCBI's taxonomy places the organism in Eukaryota, Metazoa, Chordata, Mammalia, Carnivora, Phocidae.
ACACCGGGGAACGAACCUAGGAGAUAUGCAAGGUUGUGUAUGAAGACAACUGUAAACCUCACGAAGGUCGUGAGGUUUUUGAAUGUAGCCAACUUCCUCCUGGCGACCCGGUCCCAAGAGUGCGGCCCUGUCUCUUCUCCCUCGGUUAAUCUGCGAAUUCAAGACUCCCAUGGAUGGAAGACACUGAUUGCCUCUUUCCGGGUCAGCUAACACUGGGCCAAUAAACUGGAGCCAAGGACAAGGUCA